UACAGAGGUCCCAAGCGUUGUUCGGAUUCACUGGGCGUAAAGGGUGCGUAGGUGGUCAGGUAAGUCGGAUGUGAAAUCUCCGAGCUCAACUCGGGAAACUGCAUUGGAAACUACCUGGCUCGAGGGUUGGAGGGGGGACUGGAAUGCUUGGUGGUAGCAGUGAAAUGCGCAGAUAUCAGGAGGAACACCGGUGGCGAAGGCGGGUCUCUGGGCCGAUACUGACGCUGAGGAGCGAAAGCGUGGGGAGCGAACAGG
This 255-nucleotide ribosomal RNA is filed under the name uncultured bacterium. RNAcentral's name for it is "partial 16S ribosomal RNA". It matches the Rfam family "Bacterial small subunit ribosomal RNA", at positions 524 to 776 of the family's 1533-position model. The record is from RNAcentral.